Molecule: ribosomal RNA, 156 nt
Filed under: Oscillibacter sp.
Lineage: Bacteria; Bacillati; Bacillota; Clostridia; Eubacteriales; Oscillospiraceae
Description: partial 23S ribosomal RNA
Rfam family: Bacterial large subunit ribosomal RNA
Source: RNAcentral
UGAAAGCAUCUAAGCGUGAAACUCUCCCUAAGAUGAGAUCUCUCAUCCAUUAUGGAGUAAGGGCCCAGAAAGACGAUCUGGUUGAUAGGCCGGAGGUGGAAGCACGGUAACGUGUGCAGCUGACCGGUACUAAUAGCCCGAGGGCUUGACCUACAA